RNAcentral lists this ribosomal RNA (557 nucleotides) under Caulobacter sp. StRD461. RNAcentral describes it as "bacterial SSU rRNA". It matches the Rfam family "Bacterial small subunit ribosomal RNA", at positions 102 to 694 of the family's 1533-position model. Lineage: Bacteria; Pseudomonadati; Pseudomonadota; Alphaproteobacteria; Caulobacterales; Caulobacteraceae. The record is from RNAcentral.
ACGGGUGAGUAACACGUGGGAACGUGCCCUUUGGUUCGGAACAACUCAGGGAAACUUGAGCUAAUACCGGAUGUGCCCUUCGGGGGAAAGAUUUAUCGCCAUUGGAGCGGCCCGCGUAGGAGUAGCUAGUUGGUGGGGUAAAGGCCCACCAAGGCUACGAUCCUUAACUGGUCUGAGAGGAUGAUCAGCCACAUUGGGACUGAGACACGGCCCAAACUCCUACGGGAGGCAGCAGUGGGGAAUCUUGCGCAAUGGGCGAAAGCCUGACGCACCCGUGCCGCGUGAAUGAUGAAGGUCUUAGGAUUGUAAAAUUCUUUCACCGGGGACGAUUAUGACGGUACCCGGAAAAAAAACCCCGGCUAACUUCGUGCCAGCAGCCGCGGUAAUACGAAGGGGGCUAGCGUUGCUCGGAAUUACUGGGCGUAAAGGGAGCGUAGGCCGAUAGUUUAGUCAGAGGUGAAAGCCCAGGGCUCAACCUUGGAAUUGCCUUUGAUACUGGCUAUCUUGAGUACGGAAGAGGUAUGUGGAACUCCGAGUGUAGAGGUGAAAUUCGUAGA